UGAAUAUGAAUGUAGUUAC
This 19-nucleotide non-coding RNA is filed under the name Rattus norvegicus (Norway rat). Lineage: Eukaryota; Metazoa; Chordata; Mammalia; Rodentia; Muridae. The record is from RNAcentral.